ACCACAAGGCGCACUCGUUAUUAGAGGCCAGAGAGGGAGAGAUGCUUGGUGGGAAUUGUAGUGCGAAGCCAAGAGGCUCCCCCUCCCCCCCUUCCCCCCUGCCCCAAGUGCUUAGACCGAAGGCGGCGCUGCGCCACCGGGGGACGCCCUGGGCUCAUUUCUCUGACAGUCCUUCUACUAGCUUCAUUUUCCUUGUCAACAAAAUGGGGAUAAUCACAUCUACCUUGGAAUUGUUAUGAGGAUCACAUGGAGAAACACAAGUGAAAUGCUCUGUAGAUAUAAAGCAUGUAUCAACGAUG
Molecule: non-coding RNA, 299 nt
Filed under: Pan troglodytes (chimpanzee)
Lineage: Eukaryota; Metazoa; Chordata; Mammalia; Primates; Hominidae
Source: RNAcentral